Molecule: small nuclear RNA, 105 nt
Organism: Suncus etruscus (white-toothed pygmy shrew)
Lineage: Eukaryota; Metazoa; Chordata; Mammalia; Eulipotyphla; Soricidae
Source: RefSeq, a predicted model, not a curated record
GUUGCUUCAGUAACACAUAUACUAAGAAUUGAAACAAUGUAGAGAAGAUUAAUAUGACCCCUGCAUAAGAAUGACAUAUAAAUUUGUGAGGCUUUCUUUUUUUUU